This 453-nucleotide ribosomal RNA is filed under the name Pseudomonas sp. LOT1d. RNAcentral's name for it is "bacterial SSU rRNA". It matches the Rfam family "Bacterial small subunit ribosomal RNA", at positions 250 to 695 of the family's 1533-position model. Lineage: Bacteria; Pseudomonadati; Pseudomonadota; Gammaproteobacteria; Pseudomonadales; Pseudomonadaceae. The record is from RNAcentral.
UGGUGAGGUAAAGGCUCACCAAGGCGACGAUCCGUAACUGGUCUGAGAGGAUGAUCAGUCACACUGGAACUGAGACACGGUCCAGACUCCUACGGGAGGCAGCAGUGGGGAAUAUUGGACAAUGGGCGAAAGCCUGAUCCAGCCAUGCCGCGUGUGUGAAGAAGGUCUUCGGAUUGUAAAGCACUUUAAGUUGGGAGGAAGGGCAGUAAGUUAAUACCUUGCUGUUUUGACGUUACCGACAGAAUAAGCACCGGCUAACUUCGUGCCAGCAGCCGCGGUAAUACGAAGGGUGCAAGCGUUAAUCGGAAUUACUGGGCGUAAAGCGCGCGUAGGUGGUUCGUUAAGUUGGAUGUGAAAGCCCCGGGCUCAACCUGGGAACUGCAUCCAAAACUGGCGAGCUAGAGUAUGGCAGAGGGUGGUGGAAUUUCCUGUGUAGCGGUGAAAUGCGUAGAU